AAACAGUCUCUUAUGUUUUGAUUCUUUAGUAGUUUUGGACCCCCAAGACAAAAACAAAAAAAAAUUGACACGUGGCACCUACCACGUCAGCGUUGACCGAGUCAACAAUGGACUGAGGGUCCAAAACUGCCAAAGAAUCAAAACAUAGGUGGCUGUUU
Molecule: microRNA precursor, 158 nt
Filed under: Medicago truncatula (barrel medic)
Lineage: Eukaryota; Viridiplantae; Streptophyta; Magnoliopsida; Fabales; Fabaceae
Description: MIR2619 microRNA precursor family
Rfam family: MIR2619 microRNA precursor family
Source: Rfam by way of RNAcentral